UUUUUUUCUGCAUUCAGGCUGAUCAACUGCAGUUUGUCAAAGAUCAGCUGUGAUGCUCUGGCUGCAGCUCUGAAGUCCAACCCGUCCCACCUGACAGAACUGGACCUGAGGAACAACAACCUUCAGUCUUCAGAUGUUCAUCAGCUCCAGGAUCUGGUGGAGAGUCCAAACUCCAAACUGCAGACUCUGAGGUGGGGGUCAGUCUGAUGUUCCUCCUAGUGGAUCAGAGAGGAUCAUCAUCAGCUGGUCUGCAGAGAUGUUGUUCCUGGAGGUGGAGAGCAGAGUGAUGGAGGAAUGAGAGGAAGUGGAGAUGAUCAUCAGAGCUGCAGCAUGAAGCAUGAUAGAGAACUGCACUUCAUCUUCAGUCAACAUCUUUUAGUUGUUUUAACACACAGUGUAAGAUUUCAGACUUUCAAUUUAAAGACUGCAUGCCAUCUUUCAUCUCAAAUACAAAAUAGAAUCUUUCA
Molecule: long non-coding RNA, 467 nt
Organism: Oryzias melastigma (Indian medaka)
Lineage: Eukaryota; Metazoa; Chordata; Actinopteri; Beloniformes; Adrianichthyidae
Exons: 2
Source: RefSeq, a predicted model, not a curated record